Molecule: ribosomal RNA, 419 nt
Filed under: Pylaiella littoralis
Lineage: Eukaryota; Phaeophyceae; Ectocarpales; Acinetosporaceae
Description: SSU rRNA
Rfam family: Eukaryotic small subunit ribosomal RNA
Source: RNAcentral
AACGAACGAGACCCCCGCCUGCUAAAUAGUGUGGCUUACGCUUUUGCGUAGGUGCUCGCUUCUUAGAGGGACUUCUGGUGACCAACCAGAGGAAGUUGGGGGCAAUAACAGGUCUGUGAUGCCCUUAGAUGUCCUGGGCCGCACGCGCGCUACACUGAUGCAUGCAACGAGUUAUUUUUCCUGGGUCGAGAGGCCCGGGUAAUCUGUUGAACGUGCAUCGUGAUAGGGAUAGAUCAUUGCAAUUAUUGAUCUUGAACGAGGAAUUCCUAGUAAACGCGAGUCAUCAGCUCGCAUUGAUUACGUCCCUGCCCUUUGUACACACCGCCCGUCGCACCUACCGAUUGAAACAUUCGGUGAGGAUUCCGGAUUCCGUUGCAUACGCUUCACGGCGUUGCUGNNNNNAAAAGUUAUCCAAACCU